Molecule: non-coding RNA, 39 nt
Filed under: Trypanosoma brucei brucei
Lineage: Eukaryota; Euglenozoa; Kinetoplastea; Trypanosomatida; Trypanosomatidae
Source: RNAcentral
AUCAUAUAAAAUUUUAUGGUUUAAGUAGUGAGAUUUUGU